RNAcentral lists this ribosomal RNA (946 nucleotides) under Pseudomonas aeruginosa. Its description in RNAcentral is "bacterial SSU rRNA". Lineage: Bacteria; Pseudomonadati; Pseudomonadota; Gammaproteobacteria; Pseudomonadales; Pseudomonadaceae. The record is from RNAcentral.
GGGRAUGACGCUGGCGGCAGGCCUACACAUGCAAGUCGAGCGGAGGGGGUGCUUGCUUCUSGAGGGAGCGGCGGACGGGGAGKAAUGCCUAGGAAUCUGCCUGGUAGUGGGGGAUAACGUCCGGAAACGGGCGCUAAUACCGCAUACGUCCUGAGGGAGAAAGUGGGGGAUCUUCGGACCUCGCGCUAUCAGAUGAGCCUAGGUCGGAUUAGCUAGUUGGUGRGGUAAAGGCCCACCAAGGCGACGAUCCGUAACUGGUCUGAGAGGAUGAUCAGUCACACUGGAACUGAGACACGGUCCAGACUCCUACGGGAGGCAGCAGUGGGGAAUAUUGGACAAUGGGCGAAAGCCUGAUCCAGCCAUGCCGCGUGUGUGAAGAAGGUCUUCGGAUUGUAAAGCACUUUAAGUUGGGAGGAAGGGCAGUUACUUAAUACCUUGUUGUUUUGACGUUACCAACAGAAUAAGCACCGGCUAACUUCGUGCCAGCAGCCGCGGUAAUACAAAGGGUGCAAGCGUUAAUCGGAAUUACUGGGCGUAAAGCGCGCGUAGGUGGUUCAUUAAGUUGGAUGUGAAAUCCCCGGGCUCAACCUGGGAACUGCAUYCAAAACUACUUGACUAGAGUAUGGUAGAGGGUGGUGGAAUUUCCUGUGUAGCGGUGAAAUGCGUAGAUAUAGGAAGGAACACCAGUGGCGAAGGCGACCACCUGGACUGAUACUGACACUGAGGUGCGAAAGCGUGGGGAGCAAACAGGAUUAGAUACCCUGGUAGUCCACGCCGUAAACGAUGUCGACUAGCCGUUGGGAUCCUUGAGCUCUUAGUGGCGCAGCUAACGCAUUAAGUCGACCGCCUGGGGAGUACGGCGCAAGGUUAAAACUCAAAUGAAUUGACGGGGCCGCACAGCGGUGGAGCAUGUUGUUUGAUUCGAAGCACGCGAAGAACCUUACCU